UGGGGAAUAUUGCACAAUGGGCGAAAGCCUGAUGCAGCAACGCCGCGUGAGUGAUGACGGCCUUCGGGUUGUAAAGCUCUGUCUUUGGGGACGAUAAUGACGGUACCCAAGGAGGAAGCCACGGCUAACUACGUGCCAGCAGCCGCAGUAAUACGUAGGUGGCAAGCGUUGUCCGGAUUUACUGGGCGUAAAGGGUGCGUAGGCGGACCUUUAAGUGAGAUGUGAAAUCCCCGGGCUUAACUUGGGGGCUGCAUUUCAAACUGGAGGUCUAGAGUGCAGGAGAGGAGAGUGGAAUUCCUAGUGUAGCGGUGAAAUGCGUAGAGAUUAGGAAGAACACCAGUGGCGAAGGCGACUCUCUGGACUGUAACUGACGCUGAGGCACGAAAGCGUGGGGAGCAAACAG
This 403-nucleotide ribosomal RNA is filed under the name uncultured bacterium. Its description in RNAcentral is "bacterial SSU rRNA". It matches the Rfam family "Bacterial small subunit ribosomal RNA", at positions 355 to 775 of the family's 1533-position model. The record is from RNAcentral.